Long non-coding RNA from Parus major (Great Tit), 1047 nucleotides. The record is from Ensembl. NCBI's taxonomy places the organism in Eukaryota, Metazoa, Chordata, Aves, Passeriformes, Paridae.
CCCCAGUGCUUCAGCUAGCAUAAUUGUGGUUUGUUACCUGCAACUCUUCCUCCCAUUCAAUACUCUCUGAAAAUAUUAAUGUCAAGCCUGAGUUUCAGUUGUGGCCCUAGUCCUGGCCUAGGAGGAGAGGAUGGCCAACACUACAGUCAGAUGCUUGGACUGACAAGGAAUGAAGUGCUCGGCUGCAAAGAUUUGUCAGAGAAAAUGCAUUUGUUUCUACUGGAAGAAAUCACCACUUUUCUUUCCUCACUGUGGCAGAUAUCCACCAAACUUAAAACACCUGCACUAGCUCCUGGCUUCAGUAGCAUCUACAUAGAAGGAGCCAGAGGAAUGUAGGUCCCUGAGCACCAUUGAUAAGAGUUCCUACACUUGAAAGCACCUGCUCCUCAUAGUUCCUGGAGAUGCAAUAGUAGAUUCAUAUUUGUCACAUAAAUAUUGGAGAACCUGUCAUAUCUUUGAAGAUAAAUGUCCCCAGUGCCUUUGCCAACUUGUAGCCUUGUUGUAGAGUUUUGAUGAAGUGAUUUCAUGUGGACCCACCUGAGCUGGGUUAUAAAUUUGCCAUGAAUUAUGCAGAGAUCAGUACAGCCAUGAAGUGGACUGGGGAGGCUGCACAGCUGCUCUCCUUGCAUGUGACAUGAAGCAUGUGCCACUUAGGAGAAGCAGGGACAGUCUCCUGCACCCCUCCCUUCCAUCCACCAGCAAAUCCUCUCCUGGAUUAACCAAGUUCAGUAAAAGGUUGUCUGUUAUCUGGCUUUAUUUCAUACAGAUUUUCUUUUUUUUUUUCUGUGUCUGAGCCCUCUGCAAUGUCUUUUUGAUGAACUUUUAUAAUCUGUCUUGGCUUGCUGUUAAAGACUGGUAAAGGCCUUACAGUGUAUUUGUGUUAAAAUGCAAAGUGUUUGUGUCUGUGUCUUCGUCUGCGUGUGUGGGGGUUGGCAAAUCUCAGUAGGCAAGUGACUGUAAACUAUUUAUUUUUUCAUUUAGUUUGAAUGAUCAUCUACAGGCAUUAUGUAUAAUAAAAUUUACAUACUAAAAUGGCUUUCUGGAGAU